Molecule: ribosomal RNA, 804 nt
Filed under: uncultured Actinobacillus sp.
Lineage: Bacteria; Pseudomonadati; Pseudomonadota; Gammaproteobacteria; Pasteurellales; Pasteurellaceae
Description: bacterial SSU rRNA
Rfam family: Bacterial small subunit ribosomal RNA
Source: RNAcentral
CGGACGGGUGAGUAAUGCUUGGGAAUCUGGCUUAUGGAGGGGGAUAACUACGGGAAACUGUAGCUAAUACCGCGUAAUAUCUUCGGAUUAAAGGGUGGGACUUUCGGGCCACCUGCCAUAAGAUGAGCCCAAGUGGGAUUAGGUAGUUGGUGGGGUAAAGGCCUACCAAGCCGACGAUCUCUAGCUGGUCUGAGAGGAUGACCAGUCACACUGGAACUGAGACACGGUCCAGACUCCUACGGGAGGCAGCAGUGGGGAAUAUUGCACAAUGGGGGGAACCCUGAUGCAGCCAUGCCGCGUGAAUGAAGAAGGCCUUCGGGUUGUAAAGUUCUUUCGGUGAUGAGGAAGGUGUUUGUUUUAAUAGAGCAAGCAAUUGACGUUAGUCACAGAAGAAGCACCGGCUAACUCCGUGCCAGCAGCCGCGGUAAUACGGAGGGUGCGAGCGUUAAUCGGAAUGACUGGGCGUAAAGGGCACGCAGGCGGUGACUUAAGUGAGAUGUGAAAGCCCCGAGCUUAACUUGGGAAUUGCAUUUCAUACUGGGUCGCUAGAGUAUUUUAGGGAGGGGUAGAAUUCCACGUGUAGCGGUGAAAUGCGUAGAGAUGUGGAGGAAUACCGAAGGCGAAGGCAGCCCCUUGGGAAUAUACUGACGCUCAUGUGCGAAAGCGUGGGGAGCAAACAGGAUUAGAUACCCUGGUAGUCCACGCUGUAAACGCUGUCGAUUUGGGGAUUGGGCUUAGAGCUUGGUGCCCGUAGCUAACGUGAUAAAUCGACCGCCUGGGGAGUACGGCCGCAAGGUUAAAACU